This 1447-nucleotide ribosomal RNA is filed under the name uncultured organism. RNAcentral describes it as "16S ribosomal RNA". It matches the Rfam family "Bacterial small subunit ribosomal RNA". The record is from RNAcentral.
CAGGCUUAACACAUGCAAGUCGAGGGGCAGCAUUUUAGUUUGCUUGCAAACUGAAGAUGGCGACCGGCGCACGGGUGAGUAACACGUAUCCAACCUGCCGAUAACUCCGGGAUAGCCUUUCGAAAGAAAGAUUAAUACCGGAUAGCAUACGAAUAUCGCAUGAUAUUUUUAUUAAAGAAUUUCGGUUAUCGAUGGGGAUGCGUUCCAUUAGUUUGUUGGCGGGGUAACGGCCCACCAAGACUACGAUGGAUAGGGGUUCUGAGAGGAAGGUCCCCCACAUUGGAACUGAGACACGGUCCAAACUCCUACGGGAGGCAGCAGUGAGGAAUAUUGGUCAAUGGGCGAGAGCCUGAACCAGCCAAGUAGCGUGAAGGAUGAAGGCUCUAUGGGUCGUAAACUUCUUUUAUAUGGGAAUAAAGUUUUCCACGUGUGGAAUUUUGUAUGUACCAUAUGAAUAAGGAUCGGCUAACUCCGUGCCAGCAGCCGCGGUAAUACGGAGGAUCCGAGCGUUAUCCGGAUUUAUUGGGUUUAAAGGGAGCGUAGGUGGAUUGUUAAGUCAGUUGUGAAAGUUUGCGGCUCAACCGUAAAAUUGCAGUUGAAACUGGCAGUCUUGAGUACAGUAGAGGUGGGCGGAAUUCGUGGUGUAGCGGUGAAAUGCUUAGAUAUCACGAAGAACUCCGAUUGCGAAGGCAGCUCACUAGACUGUCACUGACACUGAUGCUCGAAAGUGUGGGUAUCAAACAGGAUUAGAUACCCUGGUAGUCCACACAGUAAACGAUGAAUACUCGCUGUUUGCGAUAUACAGUAAGCGGCCAAGCGAAAGCAUUAAGUAUUCCACCUGGGGAGUACGCCGGCAACGGUGAAACUCAAAGGAAUUGACGGGGGCCCGCACAAGCGGAGGAACAUGUGGUUUAAUUCGAUGAUACGCGAGGAACCUUACCCGGGCUUAAAUUGCAACAGAAUAUAUUGGAAACAGUAUAGCCGUAAGGCUGUUGUGAAGGUGCUGCAUGGUUGUCGUCAGCUCGUGCCGUGAGGUGUCGGCUUAAGUGCCAUAGCGAGCGCAACCCUUAUCUUUAGUUACUAACAGGUUAUGCUGAGGACUCUAGAGAGACUGCCGUCGUAAGAUGUGAGGAAGGUGGGGAUGACGUCAAAUCAGCACGGCCCUUACGUCCGGGGCUACACACGUGUUACAAUGGGGGGUACAGAAGGCGGCUACCUGGUGACAGGAUGCUAAUCCCAAAAACCUCUCUCAGUUCGGAUCGAAGUCUGCAACCCGACUUCGUGAAGCUGGAUUCGCUAGUAAUCGCGCAUCAGCCAUGGCGCGGUGAAUACGUUCCCGGGCCUUGUACACACCGCCCGUCAAGCCAUGAAAGCCGGGGGUACCUGAAGUACGUAACCGCAAGGAGCGUCCUAGGGUAAAACUGGUAAUUGGGGCUAAGUCAUAACA